GAUGAAGAACGUAGCGAAAUGCGAUACUUGGUGUGAAUCGCAGAAUCCCGUGAACCAUCGAGUUUUUGAACGCAAGUUGCGCCCGAAGCCGUUAGGCUGAGGGCACGCCUGCCUGGGUGUCACACAUCGUUGCCCCAAUGCCAAUCGCCUCACUUUGUAGGUAUUUGCUUGGGGUGAAUAUUGGCCUCCCGUGAGCUUUGUCUCACGGUUGGUUGAAAAUCGAGUGCAUGGUGUCGGGUGUACCAUGAUGGAUGGUGGUUGAGUGAUGAUGCUCGAGACCAAUCAUGGGUAACUCCACCAGAAUUGGGCUCGGUGACCCACAUGCGUCCCUUGGAUGCUCCCUAAGGAGACCUCAGGUCAGGCGGGGCUACCCGCUGAGUUUAAGCAUAUCAAUAAGCGGAGGA
Molecule: unclassified non-coding RNA, 404 nt
Filed under: soil metagenome
Description: partial contains 5.8S ribosomal RNA, internal transcribed spacer 2, and large subunit ribosomal RNA
Rfam family: 5.8S ribosomal RNA (bases 1-122)
Source: RNAcentral